This 745-nucleotide ribosomal RNA is filed under the name uncultured bacterium. RNAcentral describes it as "bacterial SSU rRNA". It matches the Rfam family "Bacterial small subunit ribosomal RNA", at positions 8 to 796 of the family's 1533-position model. The record is from RNAcentral.
AGAGUUUGAUCCUGGCUCAGGAUGAACGCUGGCGGUCUGCUUAACACAUGCAAGUCGAACGGAACUCUUCGGAGUUCAGUGGCGGACGGGUGAGUAACGCGUGAGAAUCUGCCAAAAGGACUGGGACAACCACUGGAAACGGUGGCUAAUACCGGAUGAGCCGCAACGUAAAAGAGGAAACUCGCCUUUUGAGGAGCUCGCGUCUGAUUAGCUAGUUGGUAGGGUAAAAGCUUACCAAGGCAUCGAUCAGUAGCUGGUCUGAGAGGAUGACCAGCCACACUGGGACUGAGACACGGCCCAGACUCCUACGGGAGGCAGCAGUGGGGAAUUUUCCGCAAUGGGCGAAAGCCUGACGGAGCAAGACCGCGUGAGGGAAGAAGGCUCUUGGGUCGUAAACCUCUUUUGUCAGGGAAGAACACAAUGACGGUCCUGAAGAAUCAGCAUCGGCUACUCCGUGCCAGCAGCCGCGGUAAUACGGAGGAUGCAAGCGUUAUCCGGAAUUAUUGGGCGUAAAGCGUCCGUAGGUGGUUUUGCAAGUCGGCUGUCAAAGCACAGGGCUUAACCCUGUAAAGGCAGUGGAAACUACAAGACUCGAGUGCAGUAGGGGCAGAGGGAAUUCCCAGUGUAGCGGUGAAAUGCGUAGAGAUUGGGAAGAACACCCGUGGCGAAAGCCUCUGCUGGACUGCAACUGACACUCAGGGACGAAAGCUAGGGGAGCGAAUGGGAUUAGAUACCCUAGUAGUCC